AGGCACUAGAGAUAUGCCGCCUCUAUGAACUUGAUACCGUGAGCACAGCCAUCGCCAGGGCUGUUGGUGUUCAUAGUUUAAAGCAUGGAAAGAAGGGCCAAGGGAUAAUGUGGCUUCGAUUGGCCCGAGACGAGCAGAGGCUUUCUACUCUUGCGGAUCAGAUUUUGGACACAAUAACGUCUGGUGAAGCUGAUAAUCUGGAUAAUCUCGAGCAUUUUGAGGGUCUCUGUGACAUCCUUGGCUCGGGAGCAACGAAGCAUCAAGGCCUGUCGUUCUU
Long non-coding RNA from Selaginella moellendorffii, 277 nucleotides. RefSeq lists it as uncharacterized. The record is from RefSeq and is a predicted model, not a curated record. NCBI's taxonomy places the organism in Eukaryota, Viridiplantae, Streptophyta, Lycopodiopsida, Selaginellales, Selaginellaceae. The transcript has 3 exons.